GUUUUAAUAGUUUAAAAAAAACGUUGGUUUUGUAAACCAAAAAUAAGAAAAGCCCCCCACUUUUAAAGCU
RNAcentral lists this transfer RNA (70 nucleotides) under Notostaurus albicornis albicornis. RNAcentral describes it as "tRNA-Thr". It matches the Rfam family "tRNA". Rfam says of the family: Transfer RNA (tRNA) molecules are approximately 80 nucleotides in length. Their secondary structure includes four short double-helical elements and three loops (D, anti-codon, and T loops). The record is from RNAcentral. Lineage: Eukaryota; Metazoa; Arthropoda; Insecta; Orthoptera; Acrididae.